Molecule: ribosomal RNA, 494 nt
Filed under: uncultured bacterium
Lineage: Bacteria
Description: partial 16S ribosomal RNA
Rfam family: Bacterial small subunit ribosomal RNA
Source: RNAcentral
GACGAACGCUGGCGGCGUGCUUAACACAUGCAAGUCGAACGGUGAAGCGCCUUCCUUUUUGGUGGGUGUGGAUGAGUGGCGAGCGGGUGAGUAACACGUGAGUAACCUGCCCCCUUCUUCUGGAUAACCGCAUGAAAGUGUGGCUAAUACGGGAUAUCCUGGGUCUGUCGCAUGAUGGGUCUGGGAAAGAUAUUGUUUCGGUGGGGGAUGGGCUCGCGGCCUAUCAGCUUGUUGGUGGGGUGAUGGCCUACCAAGGCGGUGACGGGUAGCCGGCCUGAGAGGGUGGACGGUCACACUGGGACUGAGACACGGCCCAGACUCCUACGGGAGGCAGCAGUGGGGAAUAUUGCACAAUGGGCGCAAGCCUGAUGCAGCGACGCCGCGUGAGGGAUGGAGGCCUUCGGGUUGUGAACCUCUUUCGCCAGUGAAGCAGGCCUGCCUCGUUUGUGGGUGGGUUGACGGUAGCUGGAUAAGAAGCGCCGGCUAACUACGUG